Molecule: long non-coding RNA, 492 nt
Filed under: Athene cunicularia (burrowing owl)
Lineage: Eukaryota; Metazoa; Chordata; Aves; Strigiformes; Strigidae
Description: lncRNA (ENSACUG00000002609.1)
Source: RNAcentral
GGGAACUCUGCUCCUGGGACAUGUGGUUCCCACACCUCCCUCUGGGUCAAGGCAAGAAGCAGCAAAACUGCAGCAGUACUGCAGGAUUGUCCUGUGGGCCUGGGUGAACUGGGGCUGGGAGACACUGGUCUAGCAGAUGUUCUGGUGGAGUAGAUUAACUGAAUGGACCCACCAGGUGGAAUAAAGCCUGAAAAAAUAACUGAGAUCCGUAUCUCCACCUGAAAAAGCCAAUAGCUUUACUAGUAAAAACAAGUAAAGAAAAGUCAGGACCUCGAACACCUUUCCAAAAUGCCAGGGAAAGGUCUUGCUUUUGGGCUGGUGUGUGCUUUGUGCCAUCACCCCAGAGAGGUGCAGCAGCAUGGUACCAGUGGGAAGGACAAGACCAGAGCAUCUCUACUUUUGAAGAAGUUUGUAGUACUGGAGCUCUUCUUCAGCUCUGUACAUCCGCAGAUUACAAAGCACACAUCUUACAGUCUAACCUGGUAUGUGAGU